UGUGAAUAAUCGUUUGUACCGUAGACAGCAGGGGCGGCCCGCCGCUUAAAUGAUCCCUGCCGAGGACAGAAGCUAUCAACCCUUGAUCGGUUUGAGAUGCCAAUUUCCAGCUCCGUGUCUACAUUUAUGUGGAACGGAGCUUUUUAUUUGCGGUA
Molecule: non-coding RNA, 155 nt
Organism: Edaphobacillus lindanitolerans
Lineage: Bacteria; Bacillati; Bacillota; Bacilli; Caryophanales; Bacillaceae
Source: Rfam